CCUACGGGAGGCAGCAGUGGGGAAUUUUGGACAAUGGGCGCAAGCCUGAUCCAGCAAUGCCGCGUGCAGGAUGAAGGCCUUCGGGUUGUAAACUGCUUUUGUACGGAACGAAACGGUGAGCUCUAAUACAGUUUGCUAAUGACGGUACCGUAAGAAUAGGCACCGGCUAACUACGUGCCAGCAGCCGCGGUAAUACGUAGGGUGCGAGCGUUAAUCGGAAUUACUGGGCGUAAAGCGUGCGCAGGCGGUGAUGUAAGACAGAUGUGAAAUCCCCGGGCUCAACCUGGGACCUGCAUUUGUGACUGCAUCGCUAGAGUACGGUAGAGGGGGAUGGAAUUCCGCGUGUAGCAGUGAAAUGCGUAGAUAUGCGGAGGAACACCGAUGGCGAAGGCAAUCCCCUGGACCUGUACUGACGCUCAUGCACGAAAGCGUGGGGAGCAAACAGGAUUAGAUACCCUGGUAGUCCACGCCCUAAACGAUGUCGACUGGUUGUUGGGUCUUCACUGACUCAGUAACGAAGCUAACGCGUGAAGUUGACCGCCUGGGGAGUACGGCCGCAAGGUUGAAACUUAAAGGAAUUGACGG
This 585-nucleotide ribosomal RNA is filed under the name uncultured bacterium. Its description in RNAcentral is "bacterial SSU rRNA". It matches the Rfam family "Bacterial small subunit ribosomal RNA", at positions 338 to 916 of the family's 1533-position model. The record is from RNAcentral.